Molecule: ribosomal RNA, 425 nt
Filed under: uncultured bacterium
Lineage: Bacteria
Description: partial 16S ribosomal RNA
Rfam family: Bacterial small subunit ribosomal RNA
Source: RNAcentral
GUGAGGAAUUUUCCACAAUGGGCGAAAGCCUGACGCAGCCAUGCCGCGUGAAUGAUGAAGGUCUUAGGAUUGUAAAAUUCUUUCACCGGGGACGAUAAUGACGGUACCCGGAGAAGAAGCUCCGGCUAACUUCGUGCCAGCAGCCGCGGUAAUACGAAGGGGGCUAGCGUUGCUCGGAAUUACUGGGCGUAAAGGGCGCGUAGGCGGACAGCUUAGUCAGAGGUGAAAGCCCAGGGCUCAACCUUGGAAUUGCCUUUGAUACUGGCUGUCUUGAGUUUGGGAGAGGUGAGUGGAACUCCGAGUGUAGAGGUGAAAUUCGUAGAUAUUCGGAAGAACACCAGUGGCGAAGGCGACUCACUGGCCCAAUACUGACGCUGAGGCGCGAAAGCGUGGGGAGCAAACAGGAUUAGAUACCCUAGUAGUCC